Non-coding RNA from Triticum aestivum (bread wheat), 134 nucleotides. NCBI's taxonomy places the organism in Eukaryota, Viridiplantae, Streptophyta, Magnoliopsida, Poales, Poaceae. The record is from Rfam.
GUGUGAAUCACAGGGCGCUUCUCCCUUGGCACGGUGGCAUGCAUGUACAUAUGAUGGUGGUAGCCUGGUGAGCAUGCGGUGCAGCUUGCUAGCAAGCCGUGCGUGCCAAAGGAGAAUUGCCCUGCCAUUCGCCU